Molecule: ribosomal RNA, 402 nt
Filed under: uncultured bacterium
Lineage: Bacteria
Description: bacterial SSU rRNA
Rfam family: Bacterial small subunit ribosomal RNA
Source: RNAcentral
UGGGGAAUAUUGCACAAUGGGCGAAAGCCUGAUGCAGCAACGCCGCGUGAGUGAUGAAGGCCUUCGGGUUGUAAAGCUCUGUCUUUUGGGACGAUAAUGACGGUACCAAAGGAGGAAGCCACGGCUAACUACGUGCCAGCAGUCGCGGUAAUACGUAGGUGGCAAGCGUUGUCCGGAAUUACUGGGCGUAAAGAAUGCGUAGGUGGAUAUGCAAGUCAGAUGUGAAAUACCCGGGCUCAACUUGGGUGCUGCAUUUGAAACUAUAUAUCUAGAGUGCAGGAGAGGAAAGCGGAAUUCCUAGUGUAGCGGUGAAAUGCGUAGAGAUUAGGAAGAACACCAGUGGCGAAGGCGGCUUUCUGGACUGUAACUGACACUGAGGCAUGAAAGCGUGGGGAGCAAACA